Peromyscus maniculatus bairdii (prairie deer mouse) is the source of this 130-nucleotide small nucleolar RNA. Its record names the gene SNORD22. It matches the Rfam family "Small nucleolar RNA SNORD22". From Rfam's summary of the family: U22 is a member of the C/D class of snoRNA which contain the C (UGAUGA) and D (CUGA) box motifs. The record is from Ensembl. NCBI's taxonomy places the organism in Eukaryota, Metazoa, Chordata, Mammalia, Rodentia, Cricetidae.
UCUCAGUGAAGAGACGUUCACAUGUCUUAUUUUCUACCCUCAACCUAGUUCAACUGACAAGGUGACCACAUUUGAGCUGGUUUGGGGAGGAGAAGAGGAACAUUCAUUUCAGAAGGAAUUGUUUUGGGAU